Molecule: ribosomal RNA, 1435 nt
Filed under: Cephaloboides sp. n. SK-2021
Lineage: Eukaryota; Metazoa; Nematoda; Chromadorea; Rhabditida; Rhabditidae
Description: SSU rRNA
Rfam family: Eukaryotic small subunit ribosomal RNA (bases 167-1276)
Source: RNAcentral
AUGGAGUUCAGUAGGAUAAGUCAUGAAUAACAAUAAUGAAGUAAUAUGGUAGAAAAGAUUGUGGGAGUGUAAAAAGCAGGGUCAAGAGUAACAAUUAGAAAGAAGAGAUGGAAAGAAAUGAGAGAGUCAAGAGAAAAUGAGUUAAGUAUAAUUAGCGAUUCGAAGAAAACAGAGUGAUGUUGAAAGAUUAAGAGAAGCACGAAGGUUAGGGAUAUAGGGCACGGCGUGACCAUAUGAGGCAAGAAUGAUAUCCAGAACGAUCGACCAGGAACCGGUCCAACCGACAAAUAUUCCGGGAUUGGCUCAUUCCAACAGCUAUCGUUUUUUUCGAAUUUUCUUGGAUAAGUACGGUAAUUCUGGAGCUAAUACAAGUUCACCAUCCUCGACUUCGAAGAAGUACAGAUAUUAGUACAAACCUACCGUCUUUGACGCGGUUAGUUGACUCUGGGUAUCGUAGCUUAUCGAUGGUUUAUCCAUCGAUAAUCGAAAAAAGUGUCUGCCCUAUCAACUAGAUGGUAGUCUCUUAGUCUACCAUGGUUGUUACGGGUAACGGAGAAUUAGGGUUCGACUCCGGAGAGGGAGCCUUACAAACGGCUACCACAUCCAAGGAAGGCAGCAGGCGCGUAACUUAUCCACUACUACAGUGAGAUAGUGACUAAAAAUAAAAAGACCAAUCCUCUGGAUUGGUUAUUUCAAUGAGUUGAGCUCAAAUAGCUCUUCGAGGACCUAGUGGAGGGCAAGUCUGGUGCCAGCAGCCGCGGUAAUUCCAGCUCCACUAGUGUAAAUCGUCAUUGCUGCGGUUAAAAAGCUCGUAGUUGGAUCUGAGGCAUGUGCAGUGGUUCGGCUCUGUCGUUAACCAUUGUCGUGUCUAUUUUGUUGGUUUUCUGUAGGUUGUUUCAACUCCUGCAGUGGCUGGCAAUUUUACCUUGUUCAAAUUAAAAGCGCUUAAAGCAGACGUGUGUCUGAAUAGGUUAAUAAGGAAUAAUAAAAUAGGACUUAUGUUCUAUACUGUAGGUUUUAGAAAAUAAGUAAUGAUUAAGAAGGGCGAUUCGAGGCCGUUCGUAUCCCUACGCGAGAGGGGAAUUCCUAUACCGUAGGGGGCCGUCCAAUUGCGAAAGCAAUCGGAAGAACGUCCUUUUAAUCAAGAUCGAAAGUCAGAGUUCGAAGGCGUCAAAUACCGCCCAGUUCUCUUUACUCCUUCUCCUUCCCCUCUUUUUCUCCCUCUCCCUCUCCACCUUUCCGUUUUCUCCUCUAUCCAUAUCCCUCCAGCUCAUCUCGCUUAGCUUCGCUGCCGCUCCACGUGUACUGUUAUCGUUGUCGGGUGCAUACCGCCCUUGACAUUUACCAUCCGUAUUGUUCGUUUUCUAUUACUAUAUCUUGUUCUUAUUAUCCUUCAUUUCCUCUGCCAUUCCUCUGUCUAUUCUCAUCCCCUGCC